AACGUGGGCAUUGCAGCGGUCAUGUUGUCAUUCUUUUUUGCCUUCAGAGUUGUCAGCAUUGACGCUGACAUUGGCACUACCAACGCACACCGUAAUGAUUUCAUUUCCAAUAAUUAAUCUUUUCCAUUUAACGAAAACAUUGUUCCUGAAGUGUAUGGAGAUGACUUCCUACAGCGUCGCUAACCCGGUGUCGGUGUUGGCACCACCAAUGCCAGGUUUUAAUCGUACAAAUUCAAUUAUUUGUUAUGCACAUUCACUAUUGAAUACAUGUGGUUUGACUAGGGUUUUGUUGGCACUUCCAAUGCUGGCAUUCCCAUCACUUACAUUGUGUUCUCAUGAUGCUUCGGGCCUUUUUCCUGGCGGGCCUUUAGGCGAGUGGUUCACGCUAACGAUUUCAAUAUACUGUUGCUAACCAUUUCAAUACACUGUUGCCACAUCUAUCUCGGGCGUUGGGGCUCC
RNAcentral lists this long non-coding RNA (459 nucleotides) under Amborella trichopoda. Its description in RNAcentral is "long non-coding RNA (ATRI_LNC001864)". Lineage: Eukaryota; Viridiplantae; Streptophyta; Magnoliopsida; Amborellales; Amborellaceae. The record is from RNAcentral.